UACGUAGGGUGCGAGCGUUGUCCGGAAUUAUUGGGCGUAAAGGGCUCGUAGGCGGUUUGUCGCGUCGGGAGUGAAAUCCACUGGCUUAACUGGUGGCUUGCUUUCGAUACGGGCAGACUGGAGGUAUGCAGGGGAGACUGGAAUUCCUGGUGUAGCGGUGGAAUGCGCAGAUAUCAGGAGGAACACCGGUGGCGAAGGCGGGUCUCUGGGCAGUAACUGACGCUGAGGAGCGAAAGCGUGGGGAGCGAACAGG
This 253-nucleotide ribosomal RNA is filed under the name uncultured bacterium. Its description in RNAcentral is "partial 16S ribosomal RNA". It matches the Rfam family "Bacterial small subunit ribosomal RNA", at positions 524 to 776 of the family's 1533-position model. The record is from RNAcentral.